This 685-nucleotide ribosomal RNA is filed under the name uncultured Alphaproteobacteria bacterium. RNAcentral's name for it is "bacterial SSU rRNA". It matches the Rfam family "Bacterial small subunit ribosomal RNA", at positions 45 to 776 of the family's 1533-position model. The record is from RNAcentral. Lineage: Bacteria; Pseudomonadati; Pseudomonadota; Alphaproteobacteria.
UGCCUAACACAUGCAAGUCGAACGAACCCUUCGGGGUUAGUGGCGCACGGGUGCGUAACGCGUGGGAAUCUGCCCUUUGCUUCGGAAUAACAGUUAGAAAUGACUGCUAAUACCGGAUGAUGUCUUCGGACCAAAGAUUUAUCGGCAAGGGAUGAGCCCGCGUAGGAUUAGGUAGUUGGUGGGGUAAAGGCCUACCAAGCCGACGAUCCUUAGCUGGUCUGAGAGGAUGAUCAGCCACACUGGGACUGAGACACGGCCCAGACUCCUACGGGAGGCAGCAGUGGGGAAUAUUGGACAAUGGGCGCAAGCCUGAUCCAGCAAUGCCGCGUGAGUGAUGAAGGCCUUCGGGUCGUAAAGCUCUUUUACCAGGGAUGAUAAUGACAGUACCUGGAGAAUAAGCUCCGGCUAACUCCGUGCCAGCAGCCGCGGUAAUACGGAGGGAGCUAGCGUUGUUCGGAAUUACUGGGCGUAAAGCGCACGUAGGCGGCGACACAAGUCAGAGGUGAAAGCCCGGGGCUCAACCCCGGAACUGCCUUUGAAACUAGGUUGCUAGAAUCUUGGAGAGGUCAGUGGAAUUCCGAGUGUAGAGGUGAAAUUCGUAGAUAUUCGGAAGGACACCAGUGGCGAAGGCGACUGACUGGACAAGUAUUGACGCUGAGGUGCGAAAGCGUGGGGAGCAAACAGG